Molecule: ribosomal RNA, 562 nt
Filed under: Yersinia enterocolitica
Lineage: Bacteria; Pseudomonadati; Pseudomonadota; Gammaproteobacteria; Enterobacterales; Yersiniaceae
Description: partial 23S ribosomal RNA
Rfam family: Bacterial large subunit ribosomal RNA
Source: RNAcentral
GUAGGGAAACCGAGUCUUAACUGGGCGUCUAGUUGCAAGGUAUAGACCCGAAACCCGGUGAUCUAGCCAUGGGCAGGUUGAAGGUUGGGUAACACUAACUGGAGGACCGAACCGACUAAUGUUGAAAAAUUAGCGGAUGACUUGUGGCUGGGGGUGAAAGGCCAAUCAAACCGGGAGAUAGCUGGUUCUCCCCGAAAGCUAUUUAGGUAGCGCCUCGUGAACUCAUCUUCGGGGGUAGAGCACUGUUUCGGCUAGGGGGUCAUCCCGACUUACCAAACCGAUGCAAACUCCGAAUACCGAAGAAUGUUAUCACGGGAGACACACGGCGGGUGCUAACGUCCGUCGUGAAGAGGGAAACAACCCAGACCGCCAGCUAAGGUCCCAAAGUCAUGGUUAAGUGGGAAACGAUGUGGGAAGGCACAGACAGCCAGGAUGUUGGCUUAGAAGCAGCCAUCAUUUAAAGAAAGCGUAAUAGCUCACUGGUCGAGUCGGCCUGCGCGGAAGAUGUAACGGGGCUAAACCAUGCACCGAAGCUGCGGCAGCGAACGUAUCACUUAAAACG